UAUUUAUAAGCCAUUAGGUAGUUAAAAACCAAUAUUUAAUGGCGGUUCUCACCCAUUAAAGAAACUCGCUUUAUAAUCGAAAACACUCGUUAAGUUUUACUAUAUCUAAAAGUUUAUAUACCGCCGUUCAGGAGUGAAGCCCCCUACAACCCCCUAAUUUCAACACACAGAACCCAAAUCAGGUCAAGGUGUAACCUACGAUACAGUAAAAGUAAGUUACAUUAAAUAUAAUUUAAGGACAUUGUAAUAAAACAUUAGAUAAAAAGAGAAUUUAUACGUACAAUAAAGUCAAAAACUCUCUUAGAAAUAAACAAUGAGAAUGC
This 323-nucleotide ribosomal RNA is filed under the name Pholcus quinquenotatus. Its description in RNAcentral is "partial 12S ribosomal RNA". The record is from RNAcentral. Lineage: Eukaryota; Metazoa; Arthropoda; Arachnida; Araneae; Pholcidae.